Molecule: long non-coding RNA, 6128 nt
Filed under: Sorghum bicolor (sorghum)
Lineage: Eukaryota; Viridiplantae; Streptophyta; Magnoliopsida; Poales; Poaceae
Description: long non-coding RNA (SBIC_LNC006195)
Rfam family: MIR5565 microRNA precursor family (bases 2882-2990)
Source: RNAcentral
GGAGAUGCACCCCGGUCCACGCCUCCUCAGUCCUUAGCCUCUUCAAGAGACUCGCCUGCCUUGCUGCCUAUGCUCCGCUCUGUACCGUACCUAGCUAUGGGACCGCUGAGCCGGGCGCUUCGAGUCCUCGAGGGAAGCCAGCGCCGAGCGGUCCCUGCGGAGUCAAGACCUCAGGGAACGGUCGGCGCUUCCAACGGUACCGUCGUUUGCUCUCAAGUUCUUAACCUAUCCAGAUUUCAGAAGGCCCCUGAUUUUUACUUCACGCAGGUACAGGGAGCUCUCUGAGCGACCAGUAGAAUAAGCAGGAAUGGUUGGUCAUUGAAGUGAAAAAAACCCAACCGGAGGGAUCGGCCGUUUACUCUGUUGUUCCAUAGAGGCAUAGACCAUAGGUACCUGUUCUUCGUUCAGUUGAUUUUGGGUAACAUUAGCUUUGGAGGACAGUCGCCUCCUCUGGCUCUGGGAUUUCUAUUGAGAGAAGUAGCUCCUCUCUAUUACCUUAAACAAGUCAGCCUUGUUUAGUUCCCAAAAAAUUUUACAAAAUUUUUCAGAUUCCCCGUCACAUCAGAUCUUUAGACGCAUGCAUAGAGUAUUAAAUAUAGAUGAAAAUAAAAACUAAUUGCAUAGUUUGGUCGGAAUUGAUGGGACGGAUCUUUUGAGCCUAGUUAAUCCAUGAUUGGACAAUAUUUUUCACAAACAAACGAAAGUGCUACAGUACCUGUUUUGCAAAAUUUUUUGGAACUAAACAAGGCCGAGAAAGAUUAGCAUCCAAAAAUCAUGAAAACCUGGCCAGCAUUGCCAAGUGGUGUCCUUCAGUGUCUCACAUUCUUUUAUUCAAAUGUAAAUACAAUAUAUGAAGCUGUUUGGCCAGCCCCGUUUAAACCAAAAUACUCCCAGGCUAAGGAUAAUAUGCUGAAAUCUACAUGAUAAAAACAAUUGUGCUCGUGCAAGGUUAAUUACUAAUUGAACCGAGCUAAAAUCUUGCUGAACUUGAUAUCCGCGAGCUAGGUAUCCUUUCACCUCUGUAAAUGACAAGUGAACCAUGACGCAUAACCGUCUUCAAUUGUUCGUGCAUCCCUCUACCUCUGUCUUCUUCUUGGCACCGGCUUUUUUCAUUUGCACCAUCUUUAGUUUCUUCUUGUGGCAAGAUUUGUUCCGACUCACCAUUUUCAGGUCCUACUUUCUUGUUUUUGCAGAAAUGGGUUAUCAAGGCGACCACAAGAGAAGUGGUUGAGGCAACUCCAGUAGCGAUGAUGGGUCCUGCAAAGCUGUCAAAGGUCAGGCUACCUGUACCAGAGAUGGUGCCCACAUUUUGGCAGUUAUUUUGAUCUCCUAUCCAUUUCUUCUCGAUUUGAAUGAUCGUAUCUCCCCCUGUUAUGUUCAGGAUUGCCUGUGAGAUGUCGCCAAUUAAGGGCGACCCCUUCUGGAAUGCCUAAGGAAGAUGAUAAACCCAGGUCAGUUUGUCCCAUCAGUGUGCAAACUGAAAUAAAGCUUUAUUUGAACUUGGUUACCCCAAAGUAAUGAACUUAAUAAACACAGUCAAACUUACAUAUCCAAAACCCGCAGUCUUAUAUAUUGGCCCAACCAUGGUGUAUCCCUUGCAGUGCUCUGCAAGAAAUAGUUUGAUGUAUGGGAUUUCAUCUACAUGGGCAGCAAUACCACCAUUCUUGCUUCCCUUGGAAAGUGCAUUGUGAUAAUCUUCAGGGGUUUCAUAGGGCUUGAUCUUUGAUGCGUCAAACCCAAGUUCUUCCAAAAGACCCUUGAUGUAGGAACCACGUGAAUACCCAACAGAUUCUCCGGUUUUUAGGAGUUCAUCGACAUUUGUUACAGUUGGUUGGAGCUGUUGCACAGUUAGCAUGGAUGUCAAGCUUGCGGUGUAGCUUGAUUUAAGUACCAUUAGGAAGAACAGCCAUAUGACCAAUACGAUCCGUGAGAUCAGGCGUUUCACCUUCUCUUCUGCAGAAAUUACAUUAUGAGUUAAUGCUAUUUCAGACAUCAUAAAUGAAAGUUCUGAAAAUAAAAAUUAAUUCAUCAAACUCGAGAUUUUGUUAUCUUUUCAGACAUAUGGUGGGAGUUAUUCUUUCUUGCUUUUCUAAAUUCGUAUUUGCCUAGUAUCUCUGUAUACACUGUUUGCCUUGGCUUCCUAUUUAGGCACAUUUGAGAUCGCUUAUGACCUUAGCAUGUUAGUGGAGACCUUGCAUAUGAUGGUAAUAUAUUCCUUCUUGCACUUUUAGAAUUUCAUACUGUUUGGUUAGUUCCCAAUACAUGAUUUGUCUCCUUGUUUACGCACUUGUGUGCUUAGGACAUGGCUUAAAAAGACAGCACAGUUAGUGGAAAACAUAUAAAAUACACAUUUCUUUUUCCAAGUUAUGGAAUUUUUCUGUAUGAAAGUCACUUGCCAGGAUAAAAAACAUAUCAACUUGAUCGUUAUGCUGUACAGGGAAAAAAGUAUUGUGAUAGGAACACUCAACUCUCUUCAAACAGUGAAAAAUAUAUCAUUGUAGCUAGCUGUCGUGGAAUUGGACCACGAACAUUCUUGUUGUCUCCUAGAUGCUCCAACAACCAUAUCACGAUGCCUGUGUAGAUAAAGAGUAUGAUGGUUCCAAACCACAUGCCUGGUGUCAGUGGCUUCAAAAAAAUCCAGGCAUUCUUGUUUAUGCUUUCCUUGACAGGGACAACCAUUGCUAUCCCUGAUUCAGUGUAUGGCAGAGUGAAGUCAACGUACAAACUUCUGUUGUACCUAAUUGUUAUGUCUCCAACUGCUAUGUCAUACUUCUGCCAGAGUGUAAGAGAAAAUUGUUUAACCAAGAGUGGGGUUGGAUGAAAGAACGAAUUGUGUUGAUGACAAAGUAAGGUUAUAAAAAGCUUAAGGCCUUGUUUGGAUGUAGUCGGAUUCACAUCAAUCCACAUGUGUUGAGGUGGAUUGGAGUGGAAUUUGAACUAAAUUCCACUCCAACCCACACCAACACACAUGGAUUAAAGUGAAUCCGACAACAUCCAAACAAGGCCUAAAUUUUCUUUUCUUCUAUUAUGGUUCUGUAACCAUUGACUAAACUAACACGAUUCAAAUAAUUGAAGUAGUUUGAAGUGACACCAUGAGUCCAUGAUAUGUAAUAUCAGAUCUUGGAAGAGCAUUUGUGCGACUUAUAUACUUUUGACUUGAAAAGGUAAACGUGCAAAGUAUAUGUUACCUUAAGAUAAACCUGGUAGACAAAAUCAUCAUAGCUAGAACUUACAUUCCCUGUUGUGUUAAAUACUACGUAUUCAUAAGGAAGUGCAUAAGGAAGUCGCUUUACUGCCUCUUCAAAUAUUUCAAUUGCAAGGCCGCUUGCUUUAACCAAACCUCUAAGGGAGUCUUCACUGGCAUCUAUGUAUUUUGGAAACCCUCCGCCUAUGACUAUACCAACUUGAAGCUUCUUGCCAUCUAUUGGAAUUUCCCAUCCUCUGGGCACCUCUGUUGAUUCUCCUGGCCAAAUCACGGUAUUCAAAUUAUAUGUGGUGCUCGAGUAUGUUGUGUUUGUUAUCCUUUGGUCUGAUAGCUGUGAAAUUCCAUUUUGUGUGGUACAAUACCCAAUCACUCUAUGUGCUUUUCCAACUACAUUUAUUAUUUGAAACAUGGAAACUUGCAGCUCCCCAUCUGAAAGAUCAAAGUAACCACUUAAGCCUUUGAAUUUUGUUUGCAAGAUUGCCUGUAGGAAUGCCAGACUCUUUCUUGAAUUUUCUAAGGUUCCUAAACUUGUUGAGUUUUUCAGUGCAGAUGGUCUUUGAGAUUUUUCUUCAGUAACCUUUGCCUUUUCUGCUGCUUGUGCCACCGCCCAGAUUGUAUCAUAGCUCCAUAGUCCAAAAACACUUAAUUUCAAUGUUGGGUCAUUUGGAUGAUCAUUUCGGGACCUCAUGUACCAUCUCAUGGUGAAAUUGUCAGUCUUGUUGAUUUAGGAACAUAGAACUGAACCCCCAAGGCACCAUUCAUUGCUUCCACAACUGAAGGAUUUAGUGAAUCUAUGAGAUUUGCUAGCCCAUCUGUUAUGAUCCAAACAAAUCCCUUCCUCAUCAUGCCAAUUUCCUUUGCUUUUGUGAAGAAGAGGGAGCCCAAGGAGGAGGCCAUGUGCACAACGAAGACCCUUGUUUGCAUUGUCAUCAGCUUGUAGAGUUCUUGAGUAAUUUGUUCACCUGUUGCUGAUUCAUCUAUUGCACUCCGAUAAGGAAUAUGGGCAUCUAUUCCUUCAAGGACAUUGAAAAGGUCUGGUAGUAUACCUCUACCAUAAUCAUUAUCUACAUAGAUAGGUACCACCUUUCUCCAUCCAUAGGCCUUGAUUAUGGAGGCAAUGCUACUCACUUGUGCAGAGUCACACGCUGUUGCUUGAACAAAAUAUGGAAGACUCUGGGAAGACAAAGACGUGCUUGUUGCUGUGAAUGAGAUAAUUGGAACUUGAUAUCUAUUUCCAAGAGCCGAUACGAACACAGCUUGAGAAGAUUUCUGUGGGCCGAUGAUAGCUUGGACAUUGUAGUUCUCCAGCAAUUCAAGAACUGUAGAAUUGCAUAUAGAGACAGCUUCAACUUUUUGAGGAACCAAAUUUCUUAUUAUUCAUAUGCUUUAUACCAGAAGUCCAGAACAGAAUCACUGACAUAUAACUUAUUAAAUUAGUAUUUUCAAGAUAUGGAUGGAUUAUUAAAAUUCAUUCACUACAUGGUUUAGUUGUAACUUAUGGCAAUGGAACAUCAGAAAGGUUGUCCCUGUAAGUUUGCACUGGCUAUCAUAUCAAUAAAGCUACUGUUAAAUUCAGUUCAAUUAUAAAAUGCAGCUACAUGCAUAGCUUUGUUUUCUCCGCACUGACGCAGUACUUGCAGUUAAGGAACUAUAGGGAUUAAAAAAAUUUGGUGCCACCAGAUGUAAACAUAUCAUGUUUUUCUGUUGCAUAAGUGGUUUUCAGGACAAGAUUGCCACUGCCUUCUAGCUAUACUAUUUCAGAAAAAAACCACACAUUGCAUGUUUUCUGCAUCAAAACUGCUCCAGAUUCCUUCUAGGUGCAUGCUAAAUUUCAGGUAAGAGUCUAUAUUGAAUAGUUUUUAAUUAGUCCUAUUGUUGCCACACAGGGAGUUAUAGAAUUGGAAGUAAAACAACAUUUUUGCCUCUUCACAUAUGGACUUCUCUGCUUAUUCUGUGUAACCUAUGUGGUAACAAAACAUAACCAUUUAAAUGGAACACAACAGAUUUAUGAUCCUUGAAAUGAUUUGUUGUGGAAAAGACCGAACUUCCAAAAUACCAAGUGUGCAAUCUGAUAAUCAAGUAAUCACUUACUCUAUCAACUGUUCCAUAUCUGACGAUGAAACUUACCUGCAGAUGCAGCUUGGACAUCAUCGCUUUUGGAGUCCCUGACGUGGAGGACAAGUCUCGUGGUGUGGUUCGGAUGGACAGUAUAGAAAUCUUCAACAGCAAUUGAAAUGCUCGUAUGUGCUACCUUGCCCACCGUUGUCCCCAAAUCAAGUACUACCCCUAUAUGGAAUUCUUCUACUUUGCUUUCUGUAGCAUUUUGGGCAACUGCAGCACUGAAUGCCAAGAGUAUGAGCAUUGUGAUCCUAACUCCUGUUGCCAUCUCGUGAACUAUGAGGUUUGCUGAAGAAUCUUUCUACAUUGGUGCACUAGUUAUAUAGGCAUAAGUUGUCAUCUCUCUUGUGAGUUAAACCGAGUCAAAUUUCUGUUAUACUGCUACCAGUACAUUAGUCUGAUUGAAGCUUGUCUUUUCGUUGCGAUUCCUGUCAAGAAUUCAACUGUUUGCUCGCCAGUCCUAGCUGAGGUUUUCUUUAUGCUCUGUACACACUUUUCAAAGCUGAGGCAUCAGAUAUUUCUAAUUUCUCCUCGAUUGGAUCGACAAGUGUAUGUACACUAUCAUCCUGGAGUAGUGGGAUGGAGACCUGGAAGUUGAAAGCCGAAGUCUUGUGCGGGUUCAAAUGCAAGUGAAAUUUCCCCGUGAAAUUCGUAGUGAGACCAGACCUUUCCAGUUGUAGCCGAGCCGAGUGAGUCUUUUGGGGUUGUUGGAACCUUGACUCGUUAUAUAUAGAAAUGAAAUACGGAGUAUUUGAAGUGAAGAGCGCGUGUACGUGGCAAUUUCUUUUGCGAGACUCAGUUACGG